This 68-nucleotide transfer RNA is filed under the name Erinaceus europaeus (western European hedgehog). It matches the Rfam family "tRNA". From Rfam's summary of the family: Transfer RNA (tRNA) molecules are approximately 80 nucleotides in length. Their secondary structure includes four short double-helical elements and three loops (D, anti-codon, and T loops). Lineage: Eukaryota; Metazoa; Chordata; Mammalia; Eulipotyphla; Erinaceidae. The record is from Rfam by way of RNAcentral.
UGGGAGAUAGCAUAGUGGUUAUGCAAAGGACUUCCAUUCCUUAGACUCUGUGGUCUCAGGUUCCCCAG